AGCGCGAUCGCCCGCUUUCUCACCGAGCGAACGCUGCAGGCAGCGUGUAGCCCGUGAGCAUUCGUAUCGCCCGGCAUGUGUUUUUUUGCGCUCCCGCGUGGUUAUUUUAUCUGGCGAAAGGAUUAGGUUCACACACGUUCUGGCAGGAAUGAAGCCCGCAACCGUGCCGCAGUCGAUGGGAGCGCCAUUACAGGAGAUACAAAAUCAAGCGCGUGUUGUCCGGGGCUACUCGUGUCGUCGUGGACCGGACACCUCCAUGUCCAUAGAAUGGGCCCGAAGGCAACCUGCGCGAACUUCACAGGCGGAAUUUGUGGGUGGCCCCUCUUGACACCAGCACAAGAGCCUCUCUGCUAGGAGCAUCCACCCGCGUGUCCUGAACUGACAACAGUAAAACUAUUGUGGCAGAUAUAUACAUUGCGGGGACGCCGGCCGCAUGGCUGCGCCGCUAUGCCGCCACCAUCUCCAUCUGGGCCUGGCUCAUGUACCCGUGCCACGCAUCGCCGGCAUGGGGCCGGAGCGCGAGGAGCGCCGACCAGGAAGCUGGCAGUUGGUUUGGGGCUUCGGAAAGUAAAGGUUGUCUUUUGCAUGGCUCUUGCACCACCCUUUGACUUCUCGGAGAGCCUGA
Dermacentor andersoni is the source of this 625-nucleotide long non-coding RNA. RefSeq lists it as uncharacterized. The record is from RefSeq and is a predicted model, not a curated record. Lineage: Eukaryota; Metazoa; Arthropoda; Arachnida; Ixodida; Ixodidae.